Molecule: long non-coding RNA, 332 nt
Filed under: Nicotiana benthamiana
Lineage: Eukaryota; Viridiplantae; Streptophyta; Magnoliopsida; Solanales; Solanaceae
Description: long non-coding RNA (NBEN_LNC017601)
Source: RNAcentral
UAUUCUGAGCAUAGAUGACACUUAAGUGAGUUUUGACUUGACUUUUAGAAUCUUCUAUGAAGCACUGAAUGAUCUGGUCAGUCACAAGGGAAAUUUGAACCUGGAUGUGAGGUUUCCAAAGAAGCCAAAUCCUCCCAUUAACAUCCUUAGAUGAAUGAUCUGGUUAGUCACAAGGGAAAUUUGAACUUGGAUGUGAGGUUUCCAAAGUAGCCAAAUCCUCCCAUUGACAGCCUUAGAAUAGUUGCAGUGGACAUUCCAUCCUUUUGCAAUCUUUCCUUGGAUUUUCUUUGCUUUAUGUUCCUUUACUCUAGUCUCAAGACAUCCCAUAACNN